Molecule: small RNA, 115 nt
Filed under: Erwinia tasmaniensis
Lineage: Bacteria; Pseudomonadati; Pseudomonadota; Gammaproteobacteria; Enterobacterales; Erwiniaceae
Description: Fumarate/nitrate reductase regulator sRNA
Rfam family: Fumarate/nitrate reductase regulator sRNA
Source: Rfam by way of RNAcentral
GCAGGUGAAUGCAACGUCAAGCGAUGGGCGUUGUGCUCCAAUUUGUCCUUCUUCCUUUUUUGAAUUGAUGCAUAGCAAAUUUGAUUCCUACGACACCGGCUUUUAGCCGGUUUUU